RNAcentral lists this unclassified non-coding RNA (253 nucleotides) under uncultured Caryophanales bacterium. RNAcentral describes it as "uncultured Bacillales bacterium contains 16S-23S intergenic spacer region". It matches the Rfam family "Bacterial small subunit ribosomal RNA", at positions 524 to 776 of the family's 1533-position model. The record is from RNAcentral. Lineage: Bacteria; Bacillati; Bacillota; Bacilli; Caryophanales.
UACGUAGGGGGCAAGCGUUGUCCGGAAUUAUUGGGCGUAAAGCGCGCGCAGGUGGUGGUUUAAGCCUGAUGUGAAAGCCCACGGCUCAACCGUGGAAGGUCAUUGGAAACUGGAUCACUUGAGUGCAGGAGAGGAAAGUGGAAUUCCACGUGUAGCGGUGAAAUGCGUAGAUAUGUGGAGGAACACCAGUGGCGAAGGCGACUUUCUGGCCUGUAACUGACACUGAGGCGCGAAAGCGUGGGGAGCAAACAGG